RNAcentral lists this ribosomal RNA (488 nucleotides) under Streptococcus sp. oral taxon C65. RNAcentral describes it as "bacterial SSU rRNA". It matches the Rfam family "Bacterial small subunit ribosomal RNA", at positions 28 to 499 of the family's 1533-position model. Lineage: Bacteria; Bacillati; Bacillota; Bacilli; Lactobacillales; Streptococcaceae. The record is from RNAcentral.
GACGAACGCUGGCGGCGUGCCUAAUACAUGCAAGUAGAACGCUGAAGAGAGGAGCUUGCUCUUCUUGGAUGAGUUGCGAACGGGUGAGUAACGCGUAGGUAACCUGCCUUGUAGCGGGGGAUAACUAUUGGAAACGAUAGCUAAUACCGCAUAACAAUGGAUGACACAUGUCAUUUAUUUGAAAGGGGCAAUUGCUCCACUACAAGAUGGACCUGCGUUGUAUUAGCUAGUAGGUGAGGUAACGGCUCACCUAGGCGACGAUACAUAGCCGACCUGAGAGGGUGAUCGGCCACACUGGGACUGAGACACGGCCCAGACUCCUACGGGAGGCAGCAGUAGGGAAUCUUCGGCAAUGGGGGCAACCCUGACCGAGCAACGCCGCGUGAGUGAAGAAGGUUUUCGGAUCGUAAAGCUCUGUUGUAAGUCAAGAACGAGUGUGAGAGUGGAAAGUUCACACUGUGACGGUAGCUUACCAGAAAGGGCGGCUA